UACGGGGGGGGCAAGCGUUGUUCGGAAUUACUGGGCGUAAAGGGUGCGUAGGCGGUCUGUUAAGUUGGAUGUGAAAACUCGGGGCUUAACCCCGAGCCUGCAGUGGAUACGGGCAGACUAGAGGUAGGUAGGGGAGAAUGGAAUUCCCGGUGUAGCGGUGAAAUGCGCAGAUAUCGGGAGGAACACCGGUGGCGAAGGCGGUUCUCUGGGCCUUACCUGACGCUGAGGAGCGAAAGCGUGGGGAGCGAACAGG
This 253-nucleotide ribosomal RNA is filed under the name uncultured bacterium. RNAcentral's name for it is "partial 16S ribosomal RNA". It matches the Rfam family "Bacterial small subunit ribosomal RNA", at positions 524 to 776 of the family's 1533-position model. The record is from RNAcentral.